AUGCCACUUUGGGACAAGAGGCUCAAGAGAAUUUUCUUCCAAGGUUUGCUUGACAAGAUUGCCAAGAAGUCAGCCGCAUGGAAAGCUCGAUGGAUUACUUUGGCUGGUUGUACUGUUCUGGUCAGAUUCGUGCUCUCUGCCAUGCCUAUUUUUCAACUUAUUGUCGUUGAGCAGCCAAAAUGGUUUAUUAAACAAAUUGACAAGAUGAGAAGGGCCUUUCUUUGGGCCGGGUCAGAUGCAGUUAGUGGUGGAAAAUGCUUGAUCAAAUGGUCUCAAGUUUGCUCUCCUCUUGAGCUUGGUGGGCUAGGUAUACCUGAUCUGAUUUGUCAAGGAAGGGCACUGAGAGUUAGGUCGCUCUGGCAGAACGCCAUCGAUGGUGAUAAAUCUUCGCAUGGGUUAACAUUGCCAAUGGACAAGGAGGUUAAGGCCAUUUUUGUGGCUAGUACUUCAAUCAAGAUUGGGAAUGGAAAAUCAUUCAGUUUUUGGCAUGAUCAUUGGCUGCAUGGUGAGAUCCCCUCGGUUUCCUUCCCGUUACUUUACAAGCACUGUAAUAGGCGCCAGAUCACUGUCUCUGAAGGUCUCACGGAUAAUCUCUGGAUUCGGCUCAUCAAGCGCAACCCUGAUGAGGCUGUUCUAAGAGAAUUUGUUGACUUAUGGCACAGAUUACAAAGCUUCAACGUCUCUGAAUUGGAAGACGAAGUUUGUUGGAAAUGGACUGCGAUGGAACUUAUUGCGCACAAUCUACAUACCAUUUACAGUUUUAUGGCAGAGUCAGCUCUCCUUUCUUGA
Molecule: ribosomal RNA, 789 nt
Filed under: Triticum aestivum (bread wheat)
Lineage: Eukaryota; Viridiplantae; Streptophyta; Magnoliopsida; Poales; Poaceae
Description: partial small subunit ribosomal RNA
Source: RNAcentral